GCGAGACACAGAGAUGGGUGGAGCUGACAAGGUCACUGGAUGCCCCAUGUCCUGCCUCAUCCUGGAAAGGACAGACACAGGAGCCUGGUCUGCUGGCAGGCCCCCUGCUGGGCUGGCACAGGAAGACCUCUGCCAACUUGAGGUCUACUACAGUGGAGCUGAAUUCAAGGUCUGGUCACUUGAUGUGCCACGUGAUGCAACCCAACCCAACCACACCAAGCCAUGGGUCUCUAGAUGGGCCAUCAUCAUCCCAGCAGAAAAGGUGAUAGAUGCCUGUUCCAGAAGUACCUUGUCUAUCGGAAACAUGUGUUCCCAACUGACCUAGAAGAGAUGAAAGGAACCUAUUAUGUGGAAGAAAUAGAGAA
Urocitellus parryii (Arctic ground squirrel) is the source of this 365-nucleotide long non-coding RNA. RefSeq lists it as uncharacterized. The record is from RefSeq and is a predicted model, not a curated record. Lineage: Eukaryota; Metazoa; Chordata; Mammalia; Rodentia; Sciuridae.